RNAcentral lists this ribosomal RNA (466 nucleotides) under uncultured bacterium. RNAcentral's name for it is "bacterial SSU rRNA". It matches the Rfam family "Bacterial small subunit ribosomal RNA", at positions 328 to 795 of the family's 1533-position model. The record is from RNAcentral.
AUGCCAGACUCCUACGGGAGGCAGCAGUGGGGAAUAUUGCACAAUGGGGGGAACCCUGAUGCAGCGACGCCGCGUGGGUGAAGGAGCACCUCGGUGCGUAAAGCCCUAUCGGCAGGGAAGAAAAGCGAACAGGUUCGCCUGGACGGUACCUGACUAAGGAGCCCCGGCUAACUACGUGCCAGCAGCCGCGGUAAUACGUAGGGGGCAAGCGUUAUCCGGAUUUACUGGGGGUAAAGGGGGCGCAGACGGCGAUGCAAGCCAGGAGUGAAAGCCCGGGGCCCAACCCCGGGACUGCUCUUGGAACUGCGUGGCUGGAGUGCAGGAGGGGCAGGCGGAAUUCCUAGUGUAGCGGUGAAAUGCGUAGAUAUUAGGAGGAACACCAGUGGCGAAGGCGGCCUGCUGGACGGUGACUGACGCUGAGGCUCGAAAGCGUGGGGAGCAAACAGGAUUAGAUACCCGGGUAAAC